GUGAACGCUGGCGGUAGGCCUAACACCUGCAAGUCGAACGGCAGCACAGUAAGAGCUUGCUCUUACGGGUGGCGAGUGGCGGACGGGUGAGGAAUACAUCGGAAUCUACUUUUUCGUGGGGUAUAACGUAGGGAAACUUACGCUAAUACCGCAUACGACCUACGGGUGAAAGCCGGGGAUCUUCGGACCUUGCGCGAUUGAAUGAGCCGAUGUCGGAUUAGCUAGUUGGCGGGGUAAAGGCCCACCAAGGCGACGAUCCGUAGCUGGUCUGAGAGGAUGAUCAGCCACACUGGAACUGAGACACGGUCCAGACUCCUACGGGAGGCAGCAGUGGGGAAUAUUGGACAAUGGGCGCAAGCCUGAUCCAGCCAUACCGCGUGGGUGAAGAAGGCCUUCGGGUUGUAAAGCCCUUUUGUUGGGAAAGAAAAGCAGCAGGUUAAUACCCCGCUGUUCUGACGGUACCCAAAGAAUAAGCACCGGCUAACUUCGUG
RNAcentral lists this ribosomal RNA (491 nucleotides) under uncultured bacterium. RNAcentral's name for it is "partial 16S ribosomal RNA". It matches the Rfam family "Bacterial small subunit ribosomal RNA", at positions 29 to 507 of the family's 1533-position model. The record is from RNAcentral.